Molecule: long non-coding RNA, 1322 nt
Filed under: Ursus thibetanus thibetanus
Lineage: Eukaryota; Metazoa; Chordata; Mammalia; Carnivora; Ursidae
Description: lncRNA (ENSUTTG00000001610.1)
Source: RNAcentral
GAAAUGUUUGUAUAAACCUUCAUGAAAAGCCAGCAUCCUAUGUGAAAUUCUAUCUCUCUUGAAAUUAAAACUGAGGAGUAAGUUUUUGACAUAGAUGAUCUGGUUCAGAGUAUGAUGCUAUUUUUGAUGAAAUCUUGGAACAUAACAGAGCAUAACAAAAAAAUGGACUUGAUUCUCUUGAUGGUACACGCAGAGUUUAAAAAUCUCAGAGCUGCUCCUGUAUCUGCACAGACAGAAACUGGAGAUGUUAAUUUUUUGUCAUUUGGCUUUUAGAUGUCCUUGGCGUGUGCACCCCUGUGGAAUCCAGUACAUCUCUAAUCUGUCAGGAAGCAUCAGAGGUGGUUUUGACUCCUUAUGUCCUGAGCCUGUGCACAAAAUGUGUAAACUGGAUAGAACAUCAGACAGCUCAUUAUAGAGACAAGUACGCUCCAUUCCCAAAGUUGGAUGACAGAACAAGUCAGGACCUUGUGUGGAGGAAAAUGAGAUCCCGAGUGAAGUCUACAAUGUCAUUGACUCUGAAGAAGGACUCAGAGACCCAUUGGUGUUUAAUGACCCUUACUGGCCUAUGCAAUGGGAAACUGCUGUGGAAUCUAGAACAAAUGUUGGCCCCUGUCUCAAUAAAGGUGACUCAAAACCAAAAUCCCACCAAAAUAGGUAAAUAUAACCUCCCUAUCUGUACCUCCUUAACUCCUCGAAACUGCAUAAAAUAACCACCCUAUCUCUAUACCUCCUCAACUCCUCGAAACAACUGUUUUGCAGCAACUACAAUCAUAUUACCUGUAAUACACAUGGGGAUAAUAAGGAAAGAAACACCUUAAUCACCUGCUUUUUUCAUGGCUAAUCAUGGGCUGAUAUGAUUCUGGGAUUGUAUGAACCCAACUGUAACCUAAGUGCCAUAGUAGAGCCUUAGCUAGAUUCAGACCUGAGAGCAGUGAAGCUGCUGAGUAAAGUCAGCCAUGGGGUAUCAGCUCAUGAAACAGAUGUGACCCUCUGUCUAACUUUGCUAUAUGUCUCAGUCUUCCUUUUUUUGGCAUACACUAACUACUGUACCAUAGUCUAAGCUGUCAUGUCAACCACUUGUAGAGAAGUACUCAGAGGGAAUGGUUGCUCUCUCUGCUUCUGACCUCUUAUGUGGGGGGUCUUUGUCUUGCUUUUGUGCCACCAAUAGUUCCACAUUCUAUCUGAGAGUCCUUUGUUGCAGCCCUGUUUCUGGAACCAGUUUCUAUGUGUGUUUGUCUUUUAGGCCCUUAGAAAAAGGAUCCCAUCAGUGCCAUUUACCAACUGUGUGACAUUUGGCAAGUUACCUAACUAUAUAGUUUUCC